RNAcentral lists this non-coding RNA (293 nucleotides) under Paenibacillus sabinae. Its description in RNAcentral is "T-box sequence". It matches the Rfam family "T-box leader". Rfam says of the family: Uncharged tRNA acts as the effector for transcription antitermination of genes in the T-box leader family. The record is from RNAcentral. Lineage: Bacteria; Bacillati; Bacillota; Bacilli; Caryophanales; Paenibacillaceae.
UUAAAGACUGGGAACGGGAAGAGUAGGCGGUCAGCCCUUCAGAGAGCGGAAUGCAGCAGCUGUGAGCUUCCGUAGGAUACAGCCAGCCGAAGUCGCCCCGGAGUCGCCCGCUUGAGCUUCAGAAGGCCGUUACGGCCAUGAGGUUAGAGCGCGCCGGCCGCAGGCCGUUAUUUCUGCAUAGAGUGUCGCGUUAUGUCGGCCGGGUGUUCGUAAGGGUGCCGGCUCCGCCGUUAUCUUGGCGGAUGACGCGAAACAAAGGUGGUACCGCGAAAGAAUGACCUUUCGUCCUUUGA